Long non-coding RNA from Aquila chrysaetos chrysaetos, 592 nucleotides. RefSeq lists it as uncharacterized. The transcript has 6 exons. The record is from RefSeq and is a predicted model, not a curated record. NCBI's taxonomy places the organism in Eukaryota, Metazoa, Chordata, Aves, Accipitriformes, Accipitridae.
GGGGUCCGCCCGUCAUACCUUGUCUCUGCCGCUCCGUCCUCCUCAGGGGGAGGAGGAGGACUCCUCCCUCGGCCCUGCUCCACUGUGGGGUCCCUCCUGCGGGAGACAGCCCUUCACGAACCUCUCCAAGGUUCUUAUACUGCACCCAAGACUGUGGUGUCUGAACACCUCAUACAGCUAAGCACCCAUCAAGUCACAGACUGUCCCUUGUAAAAAUAGCACAAACCUCCUUUGGGAAGAAGAAUGAAAGAAUCUUGUUGCAGGGCAUCCCUGAAACAAGACCUAAGCCUAGCCUUCAGUGUGGUUUUGCUUGUGCUCCAAGGAGCCGACGGAGAGAGGGAGUGGAGAAGCCGGCUGAAACUAUCCCUGCUGCCCCGGCAGGAUGACCAGCUGAGCUGGGAAAGACAAGGAAGCACGCGCAAGUGACUAGAAAAACAGAAUCUCGCCCUAAUCAGAUGUCCUAUCCUUACAAAAUAAGGUACCAAGCUCCCUGGCAGCAUCAGAGGAAGAUGAAUCAAGUCCACAGAGAGGGUUUACUCUGUAUACCAGUUCUAUCAAAUGGAAUAAACAAUAAAAUCAUAUAACAUUGAAA